Non-coding RNA from Paralichthys olivaceus (Japanese flounder), 362 nucleotides. NCBI's taxonomy places the organism in Eukaryota, Metazoa, Chordata, Actinopteri, Pleuronectiformes, Paralichthyidae. The record is from RefSeq and is a predicted model, not a curated record.
CCUGGUUCAGAAACGAUCUCGUGGUUUUCAUCUGUUUGAGAAAGUUUGUGAACACGUCAACUUGCUGGAGAGAGACUACUUCUGUCUGUCCUUUAGAGACGCAGACAACAACAAGAACUGGUUGGAUCCAGCUAAAGAGAUGAAGAAGCAGGUCAGAGGUGUUCCCUGGAACUUCUCCUUUAAUGUGAAGUUUUACCCUCCUGACCCCGCCCAGCUGUCUGAGGACAUCACCAGGUACUUCCUGUGUCUCCAGCUCAGACAGGACAUUGUCUCUGGUCGUCUUCCUUGUUCGUUUGCGACUCAAACUGUUCUUGGUUCCUACACCGUCCAAUCAGAGCUCGGAGAUUACGACCCCGGUACUG